Molecule: ribosomal RNA, 1266 nt
Filed under: human gut metagenome
Description: bacterial LSU rRNA
Rfam family: Bacterial large subunit ribosomal RNA
Source: RNAcentral
CUCACUGGUCGAGUGAAGUUGCGCGGAAAAUUACCGGGGCUAAGCUAUACACCGAAAUUGCGGAUUUACACUUGAAAGAUAGUGUAAGUGGUAGAGGAGCAUUCUGUAGUAGGGAGAAGCAAAAGCGAGAGCAUUUGUGGACGAGGCAGAAGAGAGAAUGCUGGAAUAAGUAGCGAGAGCAAGGUGAGAAUCCUUGCCGUCGAAAGUCUAAGGUUUCCUGGGGAAGGUUCGUCCGCCCAGGGUAAGUCGGGACCUAAGGUGAGGCUGAAAAGCGUAGCCGAUGGAUAGCAGGUUGAGAUUCCUGCACUAUAGAUAUACUUAAAAGAUGCAAGGGACGCAGGAGUGGAAGAUAAGCGAGGAAGAGGAAAGACUCGUAUCGCAAGAUAUAGUGAAAAUAAAGUAACGAAUUAUCAAGAAGCACACUGACGAGAAAAGCUUGUAGAUAUUGUAUAUAAAUACCCGUACCGCAAACCGACACAGGUAGAUGAGGAGAGGAUCCUAAGACGAGCGGGAGAAGCAUUGUUAAGGAACUCGGCAAAUUGACCCCGUAACUUAGGGAGAAGGGGUGCCAAGGUAGAACUUGGCCGCAGUGAAGAGGUUCAAGCAACUGUUUAACAAAAACACAGGUUUCUGCUAAAUCGAAAGAUGAAGUAUAGGAGCUGACGCCUGCCCAGUGCUGGAAGGUCAAAGGGAAGUGUUAGUAAAAACUUACGAAGCACAGAACUCAAGCCCCAGUGAACGGCGGCCGUAACUAUAACGGUCCUAAGGUAGCGAAAUUCCUUGUCAGGUAAGUUCUGACCCGCACGAAAGGCGUAAUGAUUUGAACACUGUCUCGACAAUGUACCCGGCGAAAUUGUAGUACUAGUGAAGAUGCUAGUUACCUGCGACAAGACAGAAAGACCCCAUGGAGCUUUACUGCAGCUUGAUACUGGGUUUUGGUAAUUUAUGUACAGGAUAGGUGGGAUACAUUGAAGCAAGUGCGCCAGCAUUUGUGGAGUAGACGUUGGGAUACCACUCUUAAAUUAUUGAAAUUCUAACCUGUGAUCAUGAACUGGUCAGGGGACAAUGUCAGGCGGGCAGUUUGACUGGGGCGGUCGCCUCCUAAAGAGUAACGGAGGCGCCCAAAGGUUUCCUCAGCACGGACAGAAAUCGUGCAAAAGAGUGUAAAGGCAGAAGGAAGCUUAACUGGGAGACUGACAAGUCGAGCAGAUACGAAAGUAGGGCUUAGUGAUCCGGCGGUAGUGAGUGGAAAUGCCGUCGCUCAAC